CCUACGGGAGGCAGCAGUGAGGAAUAUUGGUCAAUGGACGAGAGUCUGAACCAGCCAAGUAGCGUGAAGGAUGACUGCCCUAUGGGUUGUAAACUUCUUUUAUAAAGGAAUAAAACGAGGCACGUGUGCCUGUUUGCAUGUACUUUAUGAAUAAGGAUCGGCUAACUCCGUGCCAGCAGCCGCGGUAAUACGGAGGAUCCGAGCGUUAUCCGGAUUUAUUGGGUUUAAAGGGAGCGUAGAUGGGUUGUUAAGUCAGUUGUGAAAGUUUGCGGCUCAACCGUAAAAUUGCAAUUGAUACUGGCAGUCUUGAGUACAGUAGAGGUAGGCGGAAUUCGUGGUGUAGCGGUGAAAUGCUUAGAUAUCACGAAGAACCCCGAUUGCGAAGGCAGCUUACUAACCUGUGACUGACAUUGAUGCUCGAAAGUGUGGGUAUCAAACAGGAUUAGAUACCCGAGUAGUC
This 460-nucleotide ribosomal RNA is filed under the name uncultured bacterium. Its description in RNAcentral is "partial 16S ribosomal RNA". It matches the Rfam family "Bacterial small subunit ribosomal RNA", at positions 338 to 795 of the family's 1533-position model. The record is from RNAcentral.